UACGUAGGGUGCAAGCGUUAAUCGGAAUUACUGGGCGUAAAGAGCGCGCAGGCGGUCGUAUAAGUCGAAUGUGAAAGCCCCCGGCUCAACUGGGGAGGGUCAUUCGAUACUGUUCGACUCGAAGGCAGGAGAGGGGAGUGGAAUUCCGGGUGUAGUGGUGAAAUGCGUAGAUAUCAGGAGGAACACCGGUGGCGAAGGCGGGUCUCUGGGCCGAUACUGACGCUGAGGAGCGAAAGCGUGGGGAGCGAACAGG
This 253-nucleotide ribosomal RNA is filed under the name uncultured bacterium. RNAcentral describes it as "partial 16S ribosomal RNA". It matches the Rfam family "Bacterial small subunit ribosomal RNA", at positions 524 to 776 of the family's 1533-position model. The record is from RNAcentral.